GGCACUGAGCACUGAGUGAUACAAAUGCCAUUUUUAAAGUUAUUUGAAGAGAUUUUGUCAUUAUUUCCAGCUCUUACAGGAGGCUUUUUUACCCUAAAGCUGUGGCUGUUUUCACACUUGGCUCUCCAGGUCAUGAGCAGCAGGUGACACAAAAGGACAGGACAGAGGUGACACCUCUCCUGCCUCACUCUGGGAUGCUCUGUGGGCAAGCCCAGCCCGGGCAGGACAUGGCUGCAUCCAUCCCUCAGCCACAGGAAUGGCUUUACAUCCCAAAAUCCUGCCAGGAGCAGGUUCAGGACAUGGCUGCAUCCAUCAUCCAUCAGCUACAUCCCAAAAUUCUGCCAGGAGCAGGUUCAGGACGUGGCUGCAUCCACCCCUCAGCCACAGGAACGGCUGUGCAUCCCAAAAUCCUGCCAGGAGGGGGUUCAGGACAUGGCUGCAUCCACCCCUCAGCCACAGGAAUGGCUGUGCAUCCCAAAAUCCUGCCAGGAGCAGGUUCAGGAUGUGGCUCAUCCCUUCCUCACCUGCAGGAAUGGCUGUGCAUCCCAAAAUCCUGCCCGGAGCAGGUGCUGCACAUCCCUGUGGGGUAUGGGGCAGCUCCUGGGAUGCCUCACUGGCAUCAGAGCAUCCCCAAAUCCCAUCUGCACCCCCCACGCCGCAUUAAUGGCUCGUACUUUGCUAAUUGUACAAACCUAAUGGGGGAAGGAGCUGGCGGGGGAAAAAAAAGGGUAAUGGCCAUCAGGCCAGCAAUAAACCAAAAUUAA
This 764-nucleotide long non-coding RNA is filed under the name Taeniopygia guttata (zebra finch). Its description in RNAcentral is "lncRNA (ENSTGUG00000025298.1)". Lineage: Eukaryota; Metazoa; Chordata; Aves; Passeriformes; Estrildidae. The record is from RNAcentral.